UCAGAGCGAACGCUGGCGGCAGGCUUAACACAUGCAAGUCGAGCGGGCGUAGCAAUACGUCAGCGGCAGACGGGUGAGUAACGCGUGGGAACAUACCUUUUGGUUCGGAACAACACAGGGAAACUUGUGCUAAUACCGGAUAAGCCCUUACGGGGAAAGAUUUAUCGCCGAAAGAUUGGCCCGCGUCUGAUUAGCUAGUUGGUGAGGUAAUGGCUCACCAAGGCGACGAUCAGUAGCUGGUCUGAGAGGAUGAUCAGCCACWUUGGGACUGAGACACGGCCCAAACUCCUACGGGAGGCAGCAGUGGGGAAUAUUGGACAAUGGGCGCAAGCCUGAUCCAGCCAUGCCGCGUGAGUGAUGAAGGCCCUAGGGUUGUAAAGCUCUUUUGUGCGGGAAGAUAAUGAC
RNAcentral lists this ribosomal RNA (405 nucleotides) under Bradyrhizobium sp. R-45661. Its description in RNAcentral is "bacterial SSU rRNA". It matches the Rfam family "Bacterial small subunit ribosomal RNA", at positions 24 to 455 of the family's 1533-position model. Lineage: Bacteria; Pseudomonadati; Pseudomonadota; Alphaproteobacteria; Hyphomicrobiales; Nitrobacteraceae. The record is from RNAcentral.